Mauremys reevesii (Reeves's turtle) is the source of this 101-nucleotide long non-coding RNA. RefSeq lists it as uncharacterized. NCBI's taxonomy places the organism in Eukaryota, Metazoa, Chordata, Testudines, Geoemydidae. The record is from RefSeq and is a predicted model, not a curated record. The transcript has 3 exons.
AAACUCCUGGCUGAGAUCAUUACAGGGUGGAGAAGCGCGCAGCUCUACGCAGUGGAUGUGACUCUGGAUCCCAGCACAGCAAAUCCCUACCUCGUCCUGGC